Molecule: long non-coding RNA, 2429 nt
Filed under: Homo sapiens (human)
Lineage: Eukaryota; Metazoa; Chordata; Mammalia; Primates; Hominidae
Description: non-protein coding lnc-RUNDC1-3:1
Rfam family: Metazoan signal recognition particle RNA (bases 455-601)
Source: RNAcentral
AUCAAGGGCGCUUGUCUGCGCAGAAGCAGGAGGGUAAGGAAUGGAAUGCGGUUUGGAUAAAUUUACUGAAAACGCGAAUUGCAUAUUUGCUGGGUUGUUUAACGACUGUUCUAAGGCUUUACAAAGGACAAGACCAGGAGGAAAAAAACAAACAAACAAAAACAAAAAAACGCGACCUGGACAAGGCACGUGGUUUAGUGAGCCCCUUGGGGCCCCAGGGAUGUAAGUAUUCUGGCUGCGGAAUCCCAGCGCAUAGAGGCGGGGACGGGACUGGCAUGGUUACUGAGCAGCACUGCCCAGUAGAAAUAGAAAGCAAGGAGCUGGGGGAGGUGGCUCACGCCUGUAAUCCCAGCAUUUUGGGAGGUCGAGGCGGGUGGAUCACCUCAGGCCAGGAGUUCGAGACCAGCCUGGCCAACAUAGCGAAACUCCGUCUCUACUAAAAAUACAAAAAUUAGCCGGGCGUGGUGGCGGGCGCCUGUAAUCCCAGCUACCCGGGAGGCUGAGGCAGGAGAAUCGCUGGAACCCGGGAGGCGGGGUUGCAGUGAGCAGAGAUUGCACCACUGCACUCCAGCCUGGGCGACAGAGCGAGACUCCGUCUCAAUUAAAAAAAAAAAAAAAAAAAAAAAAAAAGGCCGAGCGCGGUGACUCACGCCUGUAAUCCCAGCACUUUGGGAGGCCGAGGCGGGCGGAUCACGAGGUCAGGAUAUCGAGACCAUCCUGACUAACGCGGUGAAAUCCCGUCUCUACUAAAAAUACAAAAAAUUAGCCGGGCGUGGUGGCGGACGCCUGUAGUCCCAGCUACUCCGGAGGCUGAGGCAGGAGAAUGGCGUGAACCUGGGAGGCGGAGCUUGCAGUGAGCCGAGAUCGCACCAUUGCACUCCAGCCUGGGCGACAGAGCGAGACUCCGUCUCAAAAAAAAAAAAAAAAAAAAAAAAGAAGAACAAUUUGGCCAGCGUGGCCAACAUGGUGAAACCCUGUUUCUACUAAAAACACAAAAACAUUAGCCAGGCGUGGUGGCACACGCCUAUAUAAUCCCAGCUACACGGGAGGCUGAGGCAGGAGAAUCACUUUAACCCGAGAGGAGGAGGUUGCAGUGAGCCGAAAUCGUACCACUGCACUCCAGCCUGGGUAACCCAGCGAGACUACGUCUCAAGAAAAUUACAUUACAUUACAUUAAAAUAGUUUGGGCCAGACACAGUGGCUCACAUCUGUAAUCCCAGCAGUUUGGGAGGCCGAGGUGCCUGGAUCAGCUGAGGCCAGAAGUUCGAUACCAGCCUGGCCAACAUGGCAAAACCCUGUGUCUACUAAAAAUACAAAAAUUAGCUCGGUGUGGUGGCGGGCACCUACAGGCUGGGAUUACAUCCCAGCUUCUAAGGAGGCUGAAGCAGGAGAAUCGCUUGAACCUGGCAGGCGGAGGUUGCCGUGAACUGAGAUCGCGAUACUGCACUCCAGCCUGGCUGACAAAGCGAGACUUCGUCUCAAAAAAAAAAAAAAAAAAAAAAAAAAAAAAAGCAAAUUAAACCAGGUGCUAAUUUUUAUCUUGUCAAAUAUCUGAAACGAUUUAGAGAAUGGAACACUCUCAUUGUUCGUAGGAGUGAGAAUUGGUACAAUUUCAUCAAAGAGCAACUUGGUAACAGCUAUCAAAAUGUUUAAAUGUAUUUUAUCUACUCCUUGACCUAGCAAUUCUACUUCUAGAAAUGUACCCUACAGAUAUCCUGGCAAAAAUAUGUAAAGAUCCACAUUUUUAAAUGUUGAUUGCAAUAUUGUUUGCAAAUGGUAAAAGACUGCCGGACGCGGUGGCUCAUGCCUGUAAUCCCGGCACUUUGGGAGGCCGAGGCAGGUGGAUCACCUGAGGUCAGGAGUUCUAGACCAGCCUGGCCAACGUGGUAAAACCCCGUCUCUACUAAAAAUACAAAAAUUAGCUGGGCCUGGUGGCAGGCGCCUGUAAUCCCAGCUACUAGGGGAGCCGAGGCAAGAGAAUCGCUUGAACCCGGGAUGCGGAGGUUGCAGUGAGCUGAGACCACGCCGUCGCAUUCCAGCCUGGGGGACAAGAGCGAGACUUCGUCUCAAAAAAAAAGAAUAUGGUAAAAGACUAACGACCUACGUGUCCCUCAAUAAAGAACCUGUGAAAUUAUGAAAAAUACAUUCAAUGGAAUACCAUAUAGCCAUGAAAAAAAUGAGUUAGAUCUAUAUGUUCUGACUUGUAAAGAUCUCCAAUAUAUAUUAAAUGAAAAAGGGCACAAUGCAAGAUGCGGAUGGUAUGAUUCCAGUUGUGUACACACACAGACACACACAACACAUCUGCUAAUUAAGUUUUAACAUACUGCAUGUAAGUAAUAUAUACUAUAUGUUUAUGUUCCAUGUUAUAUAUUGUUUUGUAUGUUAUAUAAUUAUACCUUAGAACUACAUAGUAUAAAAUAAAUUAUAGG